This is a non-coding RNA of Ilyonectria destructans, 90 nucleotides long. The record is from the annotation of a GenBank genome assembly. NCBI's taxonomy places the organism in Eukaryota, Fungi, Ascomycota, Sordariomycetes, Hypocreales, Nectriaceae.
GCGAUCUUAGUAUAGUGGUCAGUAUAUCAGUUUGUGGGCCUCUAAAGAGUCAAUUCACUGACGACGCAAGUUCGAUUCUUGCAGAUCGCA